ACGCGAAAGCCCCCUUCGGGGGGGCAAGUAGAGUGGCGCACGGGUGAGUAACACGUAGGUAAUCUACCUUUGGAUUGGGAAUAACCACCGGAAACGGUGGCUAAUACCGAAUAAUGCAGCGGCACCUAAUGGUGACAGUUGUUAAAGCGGGGGAUCGAAAGACCUCGCGUCUGAAGAGGAGCCUGCGGCAGAUUAGCUAGCUGGUAAGGUAACGGCUUACCAAGGCGAUGAUCUGUAGCCGGCCUGAGAGGGCGGUCGGCCACACUGACACUGACAUACGGGUCAGACUCCUACGGGAGGCAGCAGUCGGGAAUUUUGGGCAAUGGGCGAAAGCCUGACCCAGCAACGCCGCGUGAAGGAUGAAAUCCUUCGGGAUGUAAACUUCGCAAGAACGGGAAGAAUAAGUAAGGGUUAAUAUCUCUUACGAUGACGGUACUGUUUGUAAGCUCCGGCUAACUCCGUGCCAGCAGCCGCGGUAAUACGGGGGGAGCAAGCGUUG
Molecule: ribosomal RNA, 499 nt
Filed under: uncultured bacterium
Lineage: Bacteria
Description: bacterial SSU rRNA
Rfam family: Bacterial small subunit ribosomal RNA
Source: RNAcentral